GUGUGGGGAAUGGCUCGGCUCAGGCGCUGAUGAAGGUCGUGCCAAGCUGCGAUAUGCGUCGGGUAGGUGCAAGGAGCCUUUGAUCCGACGAUAGCCGAAUAGGACUUCCUACUUCGGUGAUGAGUAAUCAUCAGGAACCCCCUGAAUUGAAGCAUCUUAGUAAGGGGAGGAAAAGAAACAAAUAUGGAUGUGGUUAGUAAAGGCGAUCGAACACCACAAAGGGCAAACCGAAUUCCUCUUAGAAAUAAGGGGAAGAUGUGGAGUUGCAGGACCUGUUACCUUUUAACCAAUUAACCUGAAGUUCUCUGGAAAGAGGCGCCAUAGAUGGUGAUAGCCCAGUAGGGGUAAGUUGGAAAAAGGAUUGCAGGAAUCCUUGAGUAAUGUGCAUUGGAUAUUGCGCGUGAACUGGGAGGCAUUAACUUCCAACCCUAAAUACGUCCUGAGACCGAUAGUGCAGUAGUAACGUGAGUGAAAGUUGAAAAGUACCUUUGACGAGAGGUGCAAAGAGCCUGAAACCAUACAGCACCAAACUGAUACGGCAUGAAAGCGUAAGCAGUGUCGUAUCUUCCGUUUUGAAAAACGGGCCGGGGAGUUCUGAUCAAUGGCGAGGUUAAGAAGUUUAUCUUCGAAGCCGUAGGGAAACCAAUAGCCCGCAACCUUUUUGGUGAGGGGCAAGGUGUGCUCGCCUGAAGUCAUUGGUGGGAGACCCGAAGCCAGCCGAUCUAUGCGUGGGUAAGUUGAAGCCUGGGGAAACCUGGGUGGAGGACUGAACCGGUUCUGAUGUGCAAAUCGUUCGGAUAACCUGUGCAUAGGGGUGAAAGUCCAAUCUAGACUGGGAAUAGCUGGUUCCCCCCGAAACUACUCGCAGGUAGAUCUCAACUGAGGUAGGUAAUGGUGUAGAGCACUGAUUGGAUGUUUAGGGGGCGAAAGCCCUCGGCAUCUUGUCAAACUCCGAAUCUGUUGCCGCCGUAGAUGUUGGGAGUGAGGGCAUCCGGGGUAAGCUUGAUGUCCGGAAAGGGAAACAACCCAGCCUAAGGUUAAGGUCCCUAAGUACCGACUAAGUGUCACAGACAAAGGUUGUUCGUGAUCUAAAACAACUGGGAGGUGGGCUCAGAAGCAGCCAUCCUUUAAAGAGUGCGUAACAGCUCACCAGUCGAGAUUAUGGGCGCCGAAAAUGGACGGGGCUAAGUCGGUCACCGAUACCUUAGAGUGCCGAAAGGCAAUCUGGUAGGGGGGCGUCGUGCGUGGGUAGAAGCAAGGCUGUAAGGUCUUGUGGACCGCGUUCGAAUGAUGAUCCCGGUAAAAGUAGCAGCAAAGAUAGGUGAGAAUCCUAUCCGCCGAAGGGGCAAAGGUUCCUCGACGAUGUUCGUCAGUCGAGGGUUAGUCGAUCCUAAGACUGCUCUUAACCUAAGCAGCCGAAAGGGAAGCAGGUUAAUAUUCCUGCACCAUAAGGGUUUUGCUCAAUGUCUGACGCAUCAAGGUAGGUUUUGCAUGUUUGCCUGCAUGUCCAAGCACCUAAAUCUGGGGAGAAUCGCAAUGAUGAGAACCGGAUGAAUGUGUGAUGGGGAGGGUCGUAUGACUCUUUUAACUGAUCCUCGGUGCCAGUGAAAAGGAUAUUGAGGCCAACCUUGUGUUCGUACCAAGAACUGACACAGGUGCCCCUGGGUGAGAAGCCCAAGGCGUGUCGGCUUAAUUCAAAGUGAGGGAACUCGGCAAAUUAGUCCCGUACCUUCGGUAUAAGGGAUGCCAGAUGUGCAAACGUCUGGUCUCAGUAACAAGGGAGCUCCGACUGUUUAAUAAAAACAUAGGUGACCGCAAGACUGAAAAGUUGAGUAUGGUCGCUGAAUCCUGCCCAGUGACGGUAUCUGAAUCUCCCAUUCAAGGGAACGAAGGACCGUUAAACGGCGGGGGUAACUAUGACCCUCUUAAGGUAGCGUAAUACCUUGUCGCUUAAUUGGCGACUUGCAUGAAUGGUCCAACGAGAGCUCUACUGUCCCCACUUGAAGACCGGCGAAAUUGACUUACUGGUGAACAGUCCAGUAUCUUCCAGCAGGAAAAGAAGACCCCGUGGAGCUUUACUGCAGCCUGUUGUUGUGGUAUGAUUUUGAAUGUGUAGUGUAGGCGGGAGACGUUAUCAGGGAGACAUCGUCAGGUGUUUCCUGAGCCAACGAUGAAACACCGCCCUUUUGAGGUCGUAUCACUCACUGCUUCGGCAGGACACCAAUAGGUGGGCAGUUUGGGUGGGGCGCCACGCCCUCGAAAAAAUAACAAGGGCGCCCAAAGGUCGGCUCAGACAGGUCAGAAAUCUGUCGUAGAAUGUAAGGGUAAAAGCCGACUUGACGUGGUUUGUGCCAAUACCAAACCACGAUGUGAAAGCAGGGCCUAGCGAACCAAUCAAUCCUCCUUAAUGGGGGUGAUUGAUAACAGAAAAGUUACCCCGGGGAUAACUGAGUUGUCUCCAGCAAGAGCCCGCAUCGACCUGGAGGCUUGCUACUUCGCUGUCGUCUCUCCCUAUCCUGGUGGUGCAGCAGCUGCCAAGGGUGGGGUUGUUCGCCCAUUAAAAGGGAUCGUGAGAUGGGUUUAGACCGUCGUGAGACAGGUUUGUUUUUCUCUUCUGGAAGCGUUCGGUGUCUGAGGGAAAGAGUCCUUUAGUACGAGAGGAACAGGGACCCGCAGCCUCUAGUGCAUCAGUUGUCCGGUAGGGCACGCUGAGCAGCCACGCUGUAAUAGAUAAGGGCUGAAAGCAUCUAAGCCCGAAACUAGUCCUAAGACGAGGCA
RNAcentral lists this ribosomal RNA (2778 nucleotides) under Euryarchaeota archaeon CG_4_9_14_3_um_filter_38_12. Its description in RNAcentral is "bacterial LSU rRNA". It matches the Rfam family "Archaeal large subunit ribosomal RNA". Lineage: Archaea; Methanobacteriati; Methanobacteriota. RNAcentral also lists the same sequence under 1 other name. The record is from RNAcentral.